GAAGGGGGCUGCUCCUAGUACGAGAGGACCGGAGUGGACGAACCUCUGGUGUACCGGUUGUCACGCCAGUGGCAUUGCCGGGUAGCUAAGUUCGGAAGAGAUAACCGCUGAAAGCAUCUAAGCGGGAAACUUGCCUUGAGAUGAGAUUUCCCAGAGCCUUGAGCUCUUUGAAGGGUCGUUCGAGACCAGGACGUUGAUAGGCUGGGUGUGGAAGUGCAGUAAUGCAUUAAGCUAACCAGUACUAAUUGCCCGUACGGCUUGUCCC
RNAcentral lists this ribosomal RNA (265 nucleotides) under Janthinobacterium sp. 551a. Its description in RNAcentral is "23S rRNA. Bacterial LSU". It matches the Rfam family "Bacterial large subunit ribosomal RNA", at positions 2664 to 2925 of the family's 2925-position model. Lineage: Bacteria; Pseudomonadati; Pseudomonadota; Betaproteobacteria; Burkholderiales; Oxalobacteraceae. The record is from RNAcentral.